Molecule: ribosomal RNA, 459 nt
Filed under: uncultured bacterium
Lineage: Bacteria
Description: partial 16S ribosomal RNA
Rfam family: Bacterial small subunit ribosomal RNA
Source: RNAcentral
CCUACGGGCGACAGCAGUGAGGAAUAUUGGUCAAUGGCCGGAAGGCUGAACCAGCCAAGCCGCGUGAAGGACGAAGGUGCCACGCAUUGUAAACUUCUUUUGUCAAGGGACAAAAUCAGGCACGAGAGCCUGACCGAGGGUACUUGAAGAAAAAGCAUCGGCUAACUCCGUGCCAGCAGCCGCGGUAAUACGGAGGAUGCGAGCGUUAUCCGGAUUUAUUGGGUUUAAAGGGUGCGUAGGCGGACUGUUAAGUCAGCGGUAAAAGCCCGGGGCUCAACCCCGGCGAGCCGUUGAAACUGGCGGUCUUGAGAUGUCGAGAGGUAUGCGGAAUGCGCAGUGUAGCGGUGAAAUGCUUAGAUAUUGCGCAGAACUCCGAUUGCGAAGGCAGCAUACCGGCGGCGAUCUGACGCUGAGGCACGAAAGCGUGGGUAUCGAACAGGAUUAGAUACCCUUGUAGUC